UAAUAUACGGAAAAUUUCGGGUUGCGAUGCUAACUUUGAUCUGGAAGAUUAAAGUGGAGUUUGAAUUAAAUGUGUAUCAUUCCCGAGUGAUUUUGGAGGUGUGGGAAUGAUUUCUAGAGAUAAUUGAGUAUUUGAUGCAAAUCAGGCAUGAAAUGAGAGUUUUGGAUUACAAGAUUAACUUGAAAUUUUAUUGCUCAAAGAGAAGCAAUAAUGUAAAUGUGGUAUUCCCGAACUAAAUUGAUAGCUUGGGGAUAGUGUUUCGCAUGCUUUGGAGGUAAUUAGAUGGAUUCGGAG
This 294-nucleotide long non-coding RNA is filed under the name Ananas comosus (pineapple). RNAcentral's name for it is "long non-coding RNA (ACOM_LNC023359)". Lineage: Eukaryota; Viridiplantae; Streptophyta; Magnoliopsida; Poales; Bromeliaceae. The record is from RNAcentral.